Molecule: unclassified non-coding RNA, 229 nt
Filed under: plant metagenome
Description: partial contains small subunit ribosomal RNA, internal transcribed spacer 1, and 5.8S ribosomal RNA
Source: RNAcentral
UCUCCGUAGGUGAACCUGCGGAGGGAUCAUUACAGAGUUCAUGCCCUACCGGGUAGAUCUCCCACCCUAUGUUAUUAUUACUUUGUUGCUUUGGCGGGCCGUUAGGCUCCGGCCCGACUACCGGCCCCGGCUGGUAAGCGCCCACCAGAGGACCCAAAACCCUGAAUAUUAGUGUCGUCUGAGUACUAUAUAAUAGUUAAAACUUUCAACAACGGAUCUCUUGGUUCUG